This 73-nucleotide transfer RNA is filed under the name Marmota monax (woodchuck). Its description in RNAcentral is "tRNA.Val". The stretch from base 8 to 66 matches the Rfam family "tRNA", at positions 7 to 64 of the family's 71-position model. From Rfam's summary of the family: Transfer RNA (tRNA) molecules are approximately 80 nucleotides in length. The record is from RNAcentral. Lineage: Eukaryota; Metazoa; Chordata; Mammalia; Rodentia; Sciuridae.
UGAGGCUGUAGCUUAGAGAUAGAGCACUUGCCUUACAUGCACUGGGCCCUGGGUUCAAUUCCCAGCUCCACAA